Long non-coding RNA from Engraulis encrasicolus (European anchovy), 403 nucleotides. RefSeq lists it as uncharacterized. The record is from RefSeq and is a predicted model, not a curated record. The transcript is spliced from 3 exons. Lineage: Eukaryota; Metazoa; Chordata; Actinopteri; Clupeiformes; Engraulidae.
AAAACAAAAAACACCAAAGAGUAAAACCGGAAAUGGAAUUACGUCACUUCCUGUUCGUCAGUUGGUCUCCUGCUUUGAAAUUGAGGCAAUCGUUUUCAGCCGGAUGGUUGCCCCCUGUGCGAGUGGAAGAUGUGACUUUGAAGACAGUCAUUGUAAAAGGUGCAAAAGGCUUGUCUAAGAUACGCUGGCAGUCUACACCGCAUGGCCUGCGUUGCUGACAUUGAGUGAAGUAAGUAUGGUGGUACAUUAUGUCAUAACAGAUAGUAUUUAAGUGUUGAUGUAUGUCUGUCCUGUAGGAUGUCUUUGUGGCUUGACCACAGGUGUUGCCCCACCUGCAGGCCCAGAGAUAGAAAGACAUAGUCACAAGUCACAGGACAGACAGGAAGCACAACACAACUGGGCC